RNAcentral lists this transfer RNA (72 nucleotides) under Microbacteriaceae bacterium. RNAcentral's name for it is "tRNA-Arg". It matches the Rfam family "tRNA". From Rfam's summary of the family: Transfer RNA (tRNA) molecules are approximately 80 nucleotides in length. Their secondary structure includes four short double-helical elements and three loops (D, anti-codon, and T loops). Lineage: Bacteria; Bacillati; Actinomycetota; Actinomycetes; Micrococcales; Microbacteriaceae. RNAcentral also lists the same sequence under 2 other names. The record is from RNAcentral.
GCCUCUGUAGCUCAAUGGAAGAGCAGUUCCGUCCUAAGGAAAGGGUUGGGGGUUCGAGUCCCUCCAGGGGUA